Molecule: ribosomal RNA, 439 nt
Filed under: Hanseniaspora uvarum
Lineage: Eukaryota; Fungi; Ascomycota; Saccharomycetes; Saccharomycodales; Saccharomycodaceae
Description: eukaryotic LSU rRNA
Rfam family: Eukaryotic large subunit ribosomal RNA
Source: RNAcentral
CUCAAAUUUGAAAUCCUGGUACUUUCAGUGCCCGAGUUGUAAUUUGUAGAAUUUGUCUUUGAUUAGGUCCUUGUCUAUGUUCCUUGGAACAGGACGUCAUAGAGGGUGAGAAUCCCGUUUGGCGAGGAUACCUUUUCUCUGUAAGACUUUUUCGAAGAGUCGAGUUGUUUGGGAAUGCAGCUCAAAGUGGGUGGUAAAUUCCAUCUAAAGCUAAAUAUUGGCGAGAGACCGAUAGCGAACAAGUACAGUGAUGGAAAGAUGAAAAGAACUUUGAAAAGAGAGUGAAAAAGUACGUGAAAUUGUUGAAAGGGAAGGGCAUUUGAUCAGACAUGGUGUUUUUUGCAUGCACUCGCCUCUCGUGGGCUUGGGCCUCUCAAAAAUUUCACUGGGCCAACAUCAAUUCUGGCAGCAGGAUAAAUCAUUAAGAAUGUAGCUACUU